AUAGAGUUAGUUGGUCUAUAUUUUUUCACUUAGUUUAUAUCAAUUAUAGGUGGUGAAAAAAAAACAAAAUAUUUUCUUUUACUACUUUUUAGAAUUAAUACACAAUAUACAUUAAUUUUAUGUUCUGUUAAAUUUAAAAGGGCUUUUUAAAGCCCAAUGCCUCCAUAUACUAAAUAAUUAUUUGCACUUUAUUAUUUUUAAUUAGCAACCUGACAGCCUCAAGCUGUCAUAAAAAAAGCUUUGUUAGGACCAGCUGCCCAUUAAAAAAGCUUGUUUAGUUUCAUAGUUAACUGACUGGCUUUUUAGAUAAAUUUCUAUUCUGAAGGCAAUCAGAUGCGCCCUCAUACCGUAGUUGUUUUAGUCGUUUUAGUUCUCCUGAGUUCAGGAUCUCAGGCUUCCGUUUCCAUGGGAAUCUACCAGGAUCCAGACCACUACUUUCAUUGUGUCGUUGAUGGAAUAAUCAUGUGGCGUGGUCGAAGUAUAACCCACCCAAAACGGUGUGAGGAACUGUUGUGCUCAUUUAAUAGUGCCGUGAUGAGACGAACAUGCCCUCCCGGCCAAAUAAAGUUUGGAAAAAUCAAGGCUCCGAAAGCUAAGUAUCCCGCCUGCUGUCUAGAGUAGGUUCAAUUUUAUUUAUAGAACGUUAAAUAAUUAAAAACUCUGGAUAAGAACUAAAUAUGAGAACCUACUUAUUAUAUUUACCGGCGUAUUCGAAGAACCUCUAGUCCGAGUAAGUCCAUGAAAUAUCAAGUACUAUAUGUAACAGUUUGUUUUUAUAACUGAGCAAGGUUUAAUAAUCGGCAUGGUAUAUAAGGGGUGAAAAUAUUGCAACAUCUUUUAGAAUUUACUAUAUUAAAGAGGGAUAACUAUGCGUCUGACUACUAUUUUUGGUGAUCGCUGUAUUUCUGAUUGUACACUCCAAGGCAGCUGUUAUGACUGCGUACUUCAGUGAUCCAGCUUAUCCUUGAAAGUGUGUCUAUAAUGGCGUUGUUUUAAGAGCGGGUGAAACGAGGACUGUCAAAUUUUGUUAACUCUUCGAUUGCGGCCAAAAUGCCUUUGGAAAUGUCGAAUCCGUAUCCUGUGAUUUUAGGUUAGAAGCUACGCAUCACGGAAAGCUCAUUAUCCCAAUUGCUGCAGGCGUUCUCGAUCUUCAAAACCGUGUUGUGGGUGUUAUUUAAAC
This is a long non-coding RNA of Drosophila gunungcola (fruit fly), 1180 nucleotides long. RefSeq lists it as uncharacterized. The record is from RefSeq and is a predicted model, not a curated record. The transcript has 3 exons. NCBI's taxonomy places the organism in Eukaryota, Metazoa, Arthropoda, Insecta, Diptera, Drosophilidae.